GUGGGGAAUAUUGGACAAUGGGCGAAAGCCUGAUCCAGCCAUGCCGCGUGUGUGAAGAAGGUCUUCGGAUUGUAAAGCACUUUAAGUUGGGAGGAAGGGCAGUAAGUUAAUACCUUGCUGUUUUGACGUUACCAACAGAAUAAGCACCGGCUAACUUCGUGCCAGCAGCCGCGGUAAUACGAAGGGUGCAAGCGUUAAUCGGAAUUACUGGGCGUAAAGCGCGCGUAGGUGGUUCAGCAAGUUGGAGGUGAAAUCCCCGGGCUCAACCUGGGAACUGCCUCCGAAACUGCAUGACUAGAGUACGGUAGAGGGUAGUGGAAUUUCCUGUGUAGCGGUGAAAUGCGUAGAUAUAGGAAGGAACACCAGUGGCGAAGGCGACUACCUGGACUGAUACUGACACUGAGGUGCGAAAGCGUGGGGAGCAAACAGGAUUAGAAACCCGAGUAGUCC
This 450-nucleotide ribosomal RNA is filed under the name uncultured bacterium. RNAcentral describes it as "partial 16S ribosomal RNA". It matches the Rfam family "Bacterial small subunit ribosomal RNA", at positions 354 to 796 of the family's 1533-position model. The record is from RNAcentral.